CCUACGGGUGGCAGCAGUGGGGAAUAUUGCACAAUGGGCGAAAGCCUGAUGCAGCAACGCCGCGUGAAGGAAGAAGGGUUUCGGCUCGUAAACUUCUAUCAACAGGGACGAAAGAAAUGACGGUACCUGAAUAAGAAGCCCCGGCUAACUACGUGCCAGCAGCCGCGGUAAUACGUAGGGGGCAAGCGUUAUCCGGAUUCACUGGGUGUAAAGGGAGCGUAGACGGCCAGGCAAGCCUGGAGUGAAAGCCCGGGGCCCAACCCCGGGACUGCUCUUGGAACUGCGCGGCUGGAGUGCAGGAGGGGCAGGCGGAAUUCCUGGUGUAGCGGUGAAAUGCGUAGAUAUCAGGAGGAACACCGGUGGCGAAGGCGGCCUGCUGGACUGCGACUGACGUUGAGGCCCGAAAGCGUGGGGAGCAAACAGGAUUAGAUACCCGG
RNAcentral lists this ribosomal RNA (437 nucleotides) under uncultured bacterium. RNAcentral describes it as "bacterial SSU rRNA". It matches the Rfam family "Bacterial small subunit ribosomal RNA", at positions 338 to 789 of the family's 1533-position model. The record is from RNAcentral.